GGGUAUUCAACACAAAAAUCAAAAAAGCCAAAGCUAGCCCGAACUGACCGGACAAAAGACUGAAACUGACCUCAAACAAACUAACAUCAAACUCGGAGCGGCCGGAAUCAACCCAAAACAGGACGAUUUCAGACUGGUUUAACUAUUUGAUCUUGGUUUUCAGCAAUGGAGAUGCUUUAGAUUGAGUUUUUAAUGGAUUUCCGGUGAAGAGUGGCCCAAAAACUCGAUAUACGGUCGAAUUCUUCUCUUUCAGUAUCCUCUCGUCCUUCCCGUAUCUCUCCGAUGUUCUCUAAUUCAUCCACCUCACUAUUUUCUCACCGACCUCACUGUGUACGCGUGUGUUUAUUUUUUCUGGUGAGAAGGGUGCGCAUCUAUUGGUAGUGCAUGAAUCUAUGAGGUGUGAGUAUUGUUGUGAUGUUCUGUG
RNAcentral lists this long non-coding RNA (424 nucleotides) under Capsicum annuum. RNAcentral's name for it is "long non-coding RNA (CANN_LNC004050)". Lineage: Eukaryota; Viridiplantae; Streptophyta; Magnoliopsida; Solanales; Solanaceae. The record is from RNAcentral.